RNAcentral lists this ribosomal RNA (465 nucleotides) under uncultured bacterium. RNAcentral describes it as "partial 16S ribosomal RNA". It matches the Rfam family "Bacterial small subunit ribosomal RNA", at positions 28 to 507 of the family's 1533-position model. The record is from RNAcentral.
GACGAACGCUGGCGGCGUGCUUAACACAUGCAAGUCGUACGGUAAGGCCCUUUCGGGGGUACACGAGUGGCGAACGGGUGAGUAACACGUGAGUAACCUGCCCACAACUUUGGGAUAACGCUAGGAAACUGGUGCUAAUACUGGAUAUGUGCCCCUGCUGCAUGGUGGGGGUUGGAAAGCUCCGGCGGUUGUGGAUGGACUCGCGGCCUAUCAGCUUGUUGGUGGGGUAGUGGCCUACCAAGGCGGCGACGGGUAGCCGGCCUGAGAGGGUGACCGGCCACAUUGGGACUGAGAUACGGCCCAGACUACUACGGGAGGCAGCAGUGGGGAAUAUUGCACAAUGGGCGCAAGCCUGAUGCAGCAACGCCGCGUGCAGGAUGACGGCCUUCGGGUUGUAAACCGCUUUCAGCAGGGACGAAGCUUUUUGUGACGGUACCUGCAGAAGAAGCACCGGCUAACUACGUG